Non-coding RNA from Solanum tuberosum (potato), 93 nucleotides. The record is from Rfam. NCBI's taxonomy places the organism in Eukaryota, Viridiplantae, Streptophyta, Magnoliopsida, Solanales, Solanaceae.
GUGUUCUCGAGAGUUCCCUUGACCACUUCAUGAGGGAUUAAUUUCUUCAUUUUUGUUGCCCUGCUGAAGUGUUUGGGGGAACUCUCGGUUCAC